CCUACGGGUGACAGCAGUGAGGACUAUUGGUCAAUGGCCGAGAGGCUGAACCAGACAAGUCGCGUGAGGGAAGACGGCCCUACGGGUUGUAAACCUCUUUUGUCGGGGAGCAAAGCGAGUCCCGUGUGACUCAUUGUGAGUACCCGAAGAAAAAGCAUCGGCUAACUCCGUGCCAUCAGCCGCGGUAAUACGGAGGAUGCGAGCGUUAUCCGGAUUUAUUGGGUUUAACGGGUGCGCAGGCGGACGUUCAAGUCAGCGGUCAAAUUGCGGGGCUCAACACCGGACUGCCGUUGAAACUGGUUCCCUUGAGUGCGCGAGAAGUAUGCGGAAUGCGUGGUGUAGCGGUGAAAUGCAUAGAUAUCACGCAGAACUCCGAUUGCGAAGGCAGCAUACCGGCGCGCAACUGACGCUGAUGCACGAAAGCGUGGGUAUCGAACAGGAUUAGAUACCCCAGUAGUC
RNAcentral lists this ribosomal RNA (459 nucleotides) under uncultured bacterium. Its description in RNAcentral is "partial 16S ribosomal RNA". It matches the Rfam family "Bacterial small subunit ribosomal RNA", at positions 338 to 795 of the family's 1533-position model. The record is from RNAcentral.